UGGGGAAUAUUGGACAAUGGGCGAAAGCCUGAUCCAGCCAUGCCGCGUGUGUGAAGAAGGUCUUCGGAUUGUAAAGCACUUUAAGUUGGGAGGAAGGGCAUUAACCUAAUACGUUAGUGUUUUGACGUUACCGAUAGAAUAAGCACCGGCUAACUCUGUGCCAGCAGCCGCGGUAAUACAGAGGGUGCAAGCGUUAAUCGGAAUUACUGGGCGUAAAGCGCGCGUAGGUGGUUUGUUAAGUUGGAUGUGAAAUCCCCGGGCUCAACCUGGGAACUGCAUUCAAAACUGACUGACUAGAGUAUGGUAGAGGGUGGUGGAAUUUCCUGUGUAGCGGUGAAAUGCGUAGAUAUAGGAAGGAACACCAGUGGCGAAGGCGACCACCUGGACUAAUACUGACACUGAGGUGCGAAAGCGUGGGGAGCAAACA
RNAcentral lists this ribosomal RNA (427 nucleotides) under uncultured bacterium. Its description in RNAcentral is "partial 16S ribosomal RNA". It matches the Rfam family "Bacterial small subunit ribosomal RNA", at positions 355 to 774 of the family's 1533-position model. The record is from RNAcentral.